RNAcentral lists this microRNA precursor (153 nucleotides) under Picea abies (Norway spruce). Its description in RNAcentral is "miR11515a stem-loop (pab-MIR11515a)". Lineage: Eukaryota; Viridiplantae; Streptophyta; Pinopsida; Pinales; Pinaceae. The record is from miRBase by way of RNAcentral.
UGAAACCUCGAACAGCUACAGCUACAAUGUCUCUUGCUGAAAGAAAAAAAUGUGCAGAUUUUAAAUUUUAUUGAUUUCUCAGAAUACACAAAAACAGCGGAUUACAUAAAACCAGCACAGAAGACAUUGUAGCUGCGCUUGUUCAAGGUUUCA